GUGCCAGCCGCCGCGGUAAUACGUAGGGGGCGAGCGUUGUCCGGAAUUACUGGGCGUAAAGGGCGCGUAGGCGGCCUCUUAAGUCGGGUGUGAAACGCCGCGGCUCAACCGCGGACCGGCAUCCGAUACUGGGGGGCUUGAGGGCAGGAGAGGGAAGCGGAAUUCCCGGUGUAGCGGUGGAAUGCGUAGAUAUCGGGAGGAACACCAGUGGCGAAGGCGGCUUCCUGGCCUGUACCUGACGCUGAGGCGCGAAAGCUGGGGGAGCAAACGGGAUUAGAUACCCCGGUAGUCCCAGCUGUAAACGAUGGGCACUAGGUGUGGGGGGUAUCGAUCCCCUCCGUGCCGGAGCUAACGCACUAAGUGCCCCGCCUGGGGAGUACGGCCGCAAGGUUGAAACUCAAAUGAAUUGACGGGG
This 415-nucleotide ribosomal RNA is filed under the name uncultured prokaryote. RNAcentral describes it as "bacterial SSU rRNA". It matches the Rfam family "Bacterial small subunit ribosomal RNA", at positions 505 to 918 of the family's 1533-position model. The record is from RNAcentral.